AACUUUUUGAAGUCCGCUUACCUCUCUAAGUUUAAAAAUUCAUCUGAUUACUUUUAUUCAGCAGUUCCAAGAUGGAAAUUGAAAAUGACAUUGCUUCGACUAAAAAUGAUGGAGAAACUCAGCGGGUGAGGCAGCAUCUAUGGAGCGAAGGAAAUAGGCGACAUUUCGGGUCGAGACCCUUCUUCAGACUUAAAUCAUUCGAUGCUGGAGAUUGGAAAGGAACCUGCAGAUGCUGCCUGCCCCGCUGAGUUACUCCAGCAUUUUGUGUCUACCCUCAAUGAAAUUCCUACUUGCAGCAUCAGCGCACCAGGCCCUGUGAUGCUGCUGCAAGUAAGAAUUUCAUUUUUCCCAUUGUCGGAAAAUAUGACAAUUAAACACAAAUGAAAUGUUAACUGUCUGAUUUGCUCUUGAGUUGAAGUUAAUUGGAUAAAUUUGAAACAUAUUCAAC
This is a long non-coding RNA of Leucoraja erinaceus (little skate), 448 nucleotides long. RefSeq lists it as uncharacterized. The transcript has 3 exons. Lineage: Eukaryota; Metazoa; Chordata; Chondrichthyes; Rajiformes; Rajidae. The record is from RefSeq and is a predicted model, not a curated record.